AGUCAUCUAAAUACCAAAUUAAAAAUCCCUAAUAAUACAAAUAACAAUAAUUCAAAUUGAAAUUAUCAAGUAACGUAAUUUCUUUAAUUCUCUUCAUUUGUCUUUUUCACCUUGAAAACAAAAAUCAUACACCAAAAGUAAAUAAAAUGUUAUUAACAAUUUAACAUACUGCAAUAUUGAUAAUAAUCAUUGUAAAAUUUCAAAAUAUCAAAUAUAUAGUAAAUUUGUAAUAUUUUUAAGGAAAUAAUAAUUAAACAAGACAAAACUUUACUUAUCACACUCACACAAAUCCAAGGAUUUGGAGCAGUGGCAAAACGUAGCACUUGCUGGAUGCAAAAAUUAAAAAGAAAAAGAAAAGGAUUUGGAGAUGGAAAUGAAGGGAAAGAGAUGGCAAAAUGUAGCAGUGGCGGCUGAAUUGCUAGGAGAUGAGGGAAA
RNAcentral lists this long non-coding RNA (435 nucleotides) under Citrus maxima (pomelo). RNAcentral describes it as "long non-coding RNA (CMAX_LNC000891)". The record is from RNAcentral. Lineage: Eukaryota; Viridiplantae; Streptophyta; Magnoliopsida; Sapindales; Rutaceae.